Molecule: ribosomal RNA, 504 nt
Filed under: Pseudoalteromonas sp. 1Bb1S59
Lineage: Bacteria; Pseudomonadati; Pseudomonadota; Gammaproteobacteria; Alteromonadales; Pseudoalteromonadaceae
Also listed under: 3 other names
Description: bacterial SSU rRNA
Rfam family: Bacterial small subunit ribosomal RNA
Source: RNAcentral
AGCCUGAUGCAGCCAUGCCGCGUGUGUGAAGAAGGCCUUAGGGUUGUAAAGCACUUUCAGUAAGGAGGAAAGGUUAGUAGUUAAUACCUGCUAGCUGUGACGUUACUUACAGAAGAAGCACCGGCUAACUCCGUGCCAGCAGCCGCGGUAAUACGGAGGGUGCGAGCGUUAAUCGGAAUUACUGGGCGUAAAGCGUACGCAGGCGGUUUGUUAAGCGAGAUGUGAAAGCCCCGGGCUCAACCUGGGAACUGCAUUUCGAACUGGCAAACUAGAGUGUGAUAGAGGGUGGUAGAAUUUCAGGUGUAGCGGUGAAAUGCGUAGAGAUCUGAAGGAAUACCGAUGGCGAAGGCAGCCACCUGGGUCAACACUGACGCUCAUGUACGAAAGCGUGGGGAGCAAACAGGAUUAGAUACCCUGGUAGUCCACGCCGUAAACGAUGUCUACUUGGAACUGGGGUCUUCGGACAACUUUUCCAAAGCUAACGCAUUAAGUAGACCGCCUGGG